GACAGAGGGUGCAAACGUUGCUCGGAAUCACUGGGCGUAAAGGGCGUGUAGGCGGGAAGGCAAGUCAGAUGUGAAAUCCCUGGGCUCAACCCAGGAACUGCAUUUGAAACUCCCUUUCUUGAGUGUCGGAGAGGAAAGCGGAAUUCCUGGUGUAGAGGUGAAAUUCGUAGAUAUCAGGAGGAACACCGGUGGCGAAGGCGGCUUUCUGGACGACAACUGACGCUGAGGAGCGAAAGCCAGGGGAGCAAACGGG
Molecule: ribosomal RNA, 253 nt
Filed under: uncultured bacterium
Lineage: Bacteria
Description: partial 16S ribosomal RNA
Rfam family: Bacterial small subunit ribosomal RNA
Source: RNAcentral